Salvia miltiorrhiza (redroot sage) is the source of this 1219-nucleotide long non-coding RNA. RefSeq lists it as uncharacterized. The record is from RefSeq and is a predicted model, not a curated record. The transcript has 2 exons. Lineage: Eukaryota; Viridiplantae; Streptophyta; Magnoliopsida; Lamiales; Lamiaceae.
UGAAUCAAUUGGUAGUUAGAUCAUUUAUUGAAGAAAUGGUUCGAAAUCUUGAUUUUGAUGGGAAACCCUUGAAUUGUUGCUGCCAGUUCAAUUGCCCCUUUUUUAAGCUGCUGGAUCUUCGUAUUUGUGGCCGAUUAACCCUAAUCUAUCUGUGUAAGAAUUUAGAUGGAUUAUUACCUGUUGUGGGAAGGAAAUGAUUUGGAUGCCCAUAAAUGUGCUAAUCUUACUUGUUUUUUGAUCUUUUUGUGAUGUUAUUCGAGAUGAUAAUGAAGUAUGUUGUCAAAAUAAGUUCUUACUAGUGUGUAUCUAGCUGGAGAGUCAGUUUGUACUAGUUAAUUGCAAAUUAUGUUGGUUAAUGAUAACUAGAUAUCUCUAGUAAUGGUCCAAUAUUUAGUGAAGAACCUGUAUCCUCUGUGACAAUUAGUUUGAAUGUUAAGAUACUUUAGCAUUUGACAUUCUAUUUUUAUUGAGUUAUCCUUUAAAUUUGUGGGUUAGUUUAGAUGAGAUUCAUGUCAAGAUUAAUGGAAAAUUAUUCUGAUUUUGUUGUGUUAUGGUGCUCCUAAUUUCUUACAUGUAGAUUGAUUGGCUCUCUGUUAUAAUUCCAUCUUUUCCUUUAUGAAAUUGAAAAUAUAUGAUUGGAUUGGAUAGGAAUCAUGAUUGUAUUCAAAAGUAAUUAAUAAUGCAAGUCACAACAUUUUAUAGUUACUGGUUAGGGUUUACAACAGUACUGGAAUUCUUUUGGGCGGAUCAAUAUGAUGCUAUGGCUGGCCCAAACAGGAAGUGACAUUGGUUACUUGUCAGCAGAUGAUGGAGUGAGUAAAUUACAGGAGCAAUUUGAGUGAGGGCUUGGUAUUCAAGAAGACGAUAGUGAUGAUGGGCAGAAUGAGUUCAGUGAAGCAGUGGAGUUUGAGAAUCGUAAAGAUUUUAGUGGAAGGAAUGGAGUGGCCGAAGGAAUGGGACCAGAGGUAAAAGAUGAUGACGACAAUGAUGAUGGUGAUGAGCUGUAUAUUUCUAGCUUCAGGCGGUACUCUUCACUCUGCGGUCGCGAGCAGCUCAACAGUUAUAUAGUUGAAGGACAAGAUACAAGAUUAUAGAGCUUAUAGAGAGGUGUUGGUUUUAAAAGGCAACAAAAGCCCUAUUUUUUUUUUUUUUUGAGUUGGGCUCAAAACAUUAUGUAUGGAUGUUUUGUGAUGUAUAUAAUAUAUGUUAUUGAUGGUUU